Equus asinus (donkey) is the source of this 3525-nucleotide long non-coding RNA. NCBI's taxonomy places the organism in Eukaryota, Metazoa, Chordata, Mammalia, Perissodactyla, Equidae. The record is from Ensembl.
AGCCCGUGCAGACGUACUGGGUGGCUUUUAUGGGUCGGGCCUGGAGCUGGCUGCCAGAACUUGGGCUCAUGUUCCAUUGGUCAGAACAGGGUUUCUCACCCUCAGCACUGCUGACAUUUUGGGCUGGAGGGUUCUUUGUUGUGGGGCUGUCCUGAGCGGGUUGUUCCCUGGCCUCUGCCCACUAGUUUCUGACAGCCCUCUCUCCUCUCUUCCAAUUGUGACACCCAAAGACGUCUCCAGGCAUUGCUAGAUGUCGCCUGGGGGCAAAAUCGCCCUGGCUGAGAACCACUGGGCUGGAACCAGUGAGUUGGCCACACCUACCUGCAGGGAGUCUGGGAAAUCUAGUCUCGACCGUGACCAGGGAGAAAAUGAAACUGACUGAGAGCCUGCCGGCCAGUCUCUCACAGUGACCUUUCGCCUGCAAACUCCUCUCCUACCAUGGGGACACAAAAGCCUGUUGCAGAGCUGUUUCCUAUGGGUGAGGAGAGAGAGCAAGAGUUUGAGGGGUGGGAUGGUAGACUUGGGUAGGACAAAGAGAAUCCAGAAACCACCAUUGUGUUCAGCAGCACUGAGUAUUUAUAAAUAUACGAAUAGUUGUGAGAAGGAAGCAGCAAAGGAGGAAAUAACCAUUUUGGAAUACCCUUUACAUUUCACAAACACCUUCAAAGGGGCUCUUCUAGGAACUUCGGGAUCAUCAGUGAACAAAACUGACAAAAAUCCCCGACCACCAGGAUGUUACAUUCUAGCGAGAGACACAAAGAAACAAAAAUUGAGUCUUUGGUCCUGUUCAUUGCUCUGGCUCCACCUCAGCUCGUUCUCCUCUGGAGGCAAAGUUCCCGUAAAUACAGUAUUACCAUGACGUUGCUGUUUUGUAAGAGCUCGGUGCUUCAGCCGCUUGUGGAACCCUGGCCUGACUCUCCCAGCUCUGCUGGCGACUCCUCCGUCCCUCAGGAAGGCCGGCUAUGGCCCCGCGUCUGCCUGGCUGCUUUUGAUGCCCUCCCCCAGGACUCUCUGAGGCAGUGACUCAGCAUGACUCAGCAACCCAACUUUUUAGGGGAGCCGGGGUAUUUUGCCACACAACCGACAUAUGGGAAACAUGCACGCUGUUUAGCAAAAUCAUUGGAAAUGAAACACACCAGGAGGAAGAAAGGCCCAGAUUUCCUCACACCCAAAGUGCAGAGACCAGCUCAAGGAGGCGGAGGACAAGCAGAAAGAGCCGUUUUCUCCCUGGAACCAAAAAUGAAGAGCAGUUGCUCAGAGGGCGGCCUGGGAGGAUGAAGACGCCGUCACCUGGGGGGCUUCUGUGUCGGUGGGGCUGACGGAGAGUCUCCUUCUUGGGUGAGACAUGGAACAGCCAAGAGGAGCCCGCUCCAGGGUUUGAUGUAAUUGCCACCAUGGCUGUGUCAGCCUCAUUUGUUUCUCCGGGAAAGGUACAGGCUAUUCCAAAUUUUUAAAAGUUUAGUGAACCUUUAGCUUCUUUUUAAGUGGCAUGGAAGAAUGGCUGUUUAAAAAGGACAUCGCGGCCACUGACACUUGGCAGUCUCUACAAAUGGGAUUUGAAUGCUGCGAAUCCUGUGGUGAGGGCCAUUCUGGCGCUUCUCCUUGGAAAGCGGUUCGAGCUCCCUGGCUAUUUUCCCUGGGCCGCGUUUCUAGGGUCAUUGUGUUAAGCCUUCAGUUAAAGAACAGCCUCUUUGAAGCAGCUGGUUUGGACUGGCCUCCUCGGCCCGGGAUGGUUUCUCGGUAUUCGGUGUUCACGUGACAAAGAACAUACACUGGAUUCCUCGCCUUUUAGAGUUUGGUGUUUUCUUCAGCUGAAGUAGCUUGUUAUGCUUGAGAAAGAUUUUGCUUUUUAGGUCAUAAAGUGGAGCUUGAAGACUGGAAGAGGGUUUUUUUUGUUUUGUUUUAAUGUCUUGACUCUGCUGAACGUUUGAAGGGCCUGGGAGUAAGGACUGAGAAACAGAGAUUUGUAAGUGGGGAGGUUUUGAGGGGUGUCUCCCGGUCCUAAGGGAGCAGUAUGGAACAUUCUGAGGCGGAUGGGUCAGGGGACCUUCGAGCAGUCCUUCUGUCUCCCGCCAGCCUGUUCUGGUCUCUAUGCAGCACCUAAUACACUCGGAAUGUUCUCCUAUAAUAAUCUCCCGGAGCGCAGGGCCUUGUUCAUCCUUUGCACCCCUGUACCUCAGAACCUUCAGCAGUGCUUGGCACAGAGCACGUGAGGAAGGAAUGAAGAUGCACCCGAAAAGUCGGCUCUAAUGAAAAAUUCUCUCCAUCAAAGUCUAUUCACUGACUCUCAUUCUAAAAUAAGAGACGGUGCCUCCAGCACCCCCCAAAUCAGCGGGAAUGGGGCCAUGAGAAGGUUCGCGGGUGUGUUGUAAACGUUUGGCUGAGCAAGGAAUCUGAAGUAGAAGGAAAGGUUGAAUGUGGCGCUGACGUGGAAGGGCAAGACGUCCAAGCAGAGCACAGCCUGUGUCACCAUUUAUGAAUGGAUUGGAUCCUGUAGAGAUCACGAGCAAACCAGUGCUUGACUGCUUUCUUUCUUUUUUUUUUUUUUAAAGAUUUUAUUUUUUCCUUUUUCUUCCUAAAGCCCCCGGGUACAUAGUUGUAUAUUCUUCGUUGUGGGUCCUUCUAGUUGUGGCCUGUGGGACGCCGCCUCAGCGUGGUUUGAUGAGCAGUGCCAUGUCCGCGCCCAGGAUUCGAACCAAUGAAACACUGGGCCGCCUGCAGCAGAGCACGUGAACUUACCCACUCGGCCACGGGGCCAGCCCCUUGACUGCUUUCUUAAAUAGCGUGACCCUCACAUGGUCUGAGUUUUGUUUUGUUGCUUAAUUUUUAACUGACAGUACUCCUCUGCUGCAUACCAGAAACAGCAUCAUCACUGGAUAGAGGAAAGCCAGCGCAGGACUUCUCAAAGAUGUCGCGAUUUUUCUUAAGUAAUAGUGUUUUCUUUCCUCUGUGCAGCCCUUUGGAAACAGAAGUAAAUGCCAGCUCUGAUUUCUCUUCUGCCUUCCCUGCUGUGGACUGAAUGUUUGUGUCCCCAGAAAAUUCAUACGGGAAACCCUAACCCCAAAGUGAUGGUAUUUGGAGGUGGGGCCUUUGGGAGGUGAUUAGGUUAGAUGAGGUCAUGAGAGUGGGGUCCCCUUGUUGGGAUUAGUGUCCUUAUAAGAAGAGACCAGAGAGCCUUCCUCUCUGCCCCCUAUGUGAGGAAGUAGCCAGCUGGCUGCAAACCAGACAGAGCUUUCACUAGACACUGCUGGUGCCGUGAUCAUGGACUUCCAGCCCCCAGAACUGUGAGAAAUAAAUGUUUGUCAUCUAAGUCACCCAGUCUAUGGUAUGUCGUUAUAGCAGCCCAAACGAAGACCCCCCCACCCUCCCACCCCUGCCACAUACAGACUCCCCGCCUCAGUCCCAGAUCCCUGGUCCCUCUGGGAAGACACUGCAGCCCUGGCCCAGGACCAGAAGUUGGCCCUUCCCCUCUGAUGCCUCUUAGGUCCACCUGCCGACAGCGGGCAGCCAAGAUGCUGCCCCUGC